AGAGUUUGAUCCUGGCUCAGAGCGAACGCUGGCGGUAUGCUUAACACAUGCAAGUCGAGCGAGAAAGUGGCUUCGGCCACGAGUACAGCGGCGGACGGGUGCGUAACACGUGGAUAAUCUGCCUUCAGGUCUGGGAUAACCCUGGGAAACUAGAGCUAAUACCGGAUAAGACCACAGGUUCCAUGGAACCAAGGGUAAAAGGCGGCCUUCGGGCUGUCUCCUGAAGAUGAGUCCGCGUCCCAUCAGGUUGUUGGUGAGGUAACGGCUCACCAAGCCGAAGACGGGUAGCCGACCUUAGCGGGUGAUCGGCCACACGGGGACUGAGACACGGCCCCGACUCCUACGGGAGGCAGCAGUGGGGAAUCUUGGGCAAUGGGCAAAAGCCUGACCCAGCAAUACCGCGUGAGGGAUGAAGGCCUUCGGGUCGUAAACCUCUGUCAGCAGGAACGAUGGGUCUCCGUGCUAAUACCACGGAGACUUGACGGUACCUGCAAAGGAAGCCCCGGCUAACUCCGUGCCAGCAGCCGCGGUAAUACGGAGGGGGCAAGCGUUGCUCGGAAUUACUGGGCGUAAAGGGUCCGCAGGUGGCCUCGUAAGUUGAAUGUGAAAUCUCAGGGCUUAACCCUGAAACUGCAUCCAAUACUGCGAGGCUUGAGUCCAAGAGAGGUUGGCGGAAUUCCCGGUGUAGCGGUGAAAUGCGUAGAUAUCG
Molecule: ribosomal RNA, 709 nt
Filed under: uncultured bacterium
Lineage: Bacteria
Description: bacterial SSU rRNA
Rfam family: Bacterial small subunit ribosomal RNA
Source: RNAcentral